AGAGCUUGAAAGAUAAUCGCUUGGCUCAGCCAAGAGGAAAGUCCGGGCAGCAUAGAACGCAGUAGUCGUUAAUGGCGACCGUUCGAAAAUUUAGACGGCUUCGGCCUAAAAAAUUGAAGAAUAGGGAAAGUACCACAGAGACAAUACCGCCUUCGGGCAAGGGUGAAAAGUGUAAGGUAAGAGCUUACGGCAAUCCAUGGUGACAUGGUUGAUGGCAAACCCUACUGGCUGCAAGGAGUGCUACUAAACUUUGGUUCGAAGAUGCACGCUUACCGCUUGAAUAUUUUGGCAACAAAAUAUCUAGAUAGAUGAUUAUCGGCUAAAAAGGGAAGAAACUUUUAUUGUGGUUUUACUUGUGAUAAAAGUAUUUGCACCUUUUAGUUACAAAACCCGGCUUACUGAUAGCUUAAAAA
RNAcentral lists this RNase P RNA (413 nucleotides) under Candidatus Saccharimonadota bacterium. RNAcentral describes it as "RNase P RNA component class A". It matches the Rfam family "Bacterial RNase P class A". Rfam says of the family: Ribonuclease P (RNase P) is a ubiquitous endoribonuclease, found in archaea, bacteria and eukarya as well as chloroplasts and mitochondria. Its best characterised activity is the generation of mature 5'-ends of tRNAs by cleaving the 5'-leader elements of precursor-tRNAs. The record is from RNAcentral. RNAcentral also lists the same sequence under 1 other name. Lineage: Bacteria; Candidatus Saccharimonadota.